Molecule: ribosomal RNA, 432 nt
Filed under: uncultured bacterium
Lineage: Bacteria
Description: partial 16S ribosomal RNA
Rfam family: Bacterial small subunit ribosomal RNA
Source: RNAcentral
AACGAACGCUGGCGGCAUGCCUAACACAUGCCAGUCGAACGAGACCUUCGGGUCUAGUGGCGCACGGGUGCGUAACGCGUGGGAACCUGCCCUUAGGUUCGGAAUAACUCCCCGAAAGGGGUGCUAAUACCGGAUAAUGUCUUCGGACCAAAGAUUUAUCGCCUUUGGAUGGGCCCGCGUUGGAUUAGCUAGUUGGUAGGGUAAAAGCCUACCAAGGCGACGAUCCAUAGCUGGUCUGAGAGGAUGAUCAGCCACACUGGGACUGAGACACGGCCCAGACUCCUACGGGAGGCAGCAGGGGGGAAUUUUGGACAGGGGGCGAAAGCCUGAUCCAGCAAUGCCGGGUGGGGGAUGAAGGCCUUGGGGUUGUAAAGCUCUUUUACCCGGGAUGAUAAGGACAGUACCGGGAGAAUAAGCCCCGGCUAACCCCGU